RNAcentral lists this ribosomal RNA (424 nucleotides) under uncultured prokaryote. Its description in RNAcentral is "bacterial SSU rRNA". It matches the Rfam family "Bacterial small subunit ribosomal RNA", at positions 355 to 796 of the family's 1533-position model. The record is from RNAcentral.
UGGGGAAUCUUAGACACUGGGGGAAACCCUGAUCUAGCCAUGCCGCGUGAGUGAUGAAGGCCCUAGGGUCGUAAAGCUCUUUCGCCAGGGAUGAUAAUGACAGUACCUGGUAAAGAAACCCCGGCUAACUCCGUGCCAGCAGCCGCGGUAAUACGGAGGGGGUUAGCGUUGUUCGGAAUUACUGGGCGUAAAGCGCACGUAGGCGGACUGUUUAGUCAGAGGUGGAAUCCCGGGGCUCAACCCCGGAACUGCCUUUGAUACUGGCAGUCUUCAGUUCGAGAGAGGUGAGUGGAAUUCCGAGUGUAGAGGUGAAAUUCGUAGAGAUUCGGAGGAACACCAGUGGCGAAGGCGGCUCACUGGCUGGAUACUGACGCUGAGGUGCGAAAGUGUGGGGAGCAAACAGGAUUAGAUACCCCUGUAGUCC